RNAcentral lists this ribosomal RNA (360 nucleotides) under Luniella pugil. RNAcentral's name for it is "partial 12S ribosomal RNA". The record is from RNAcentral. Lineage: Eukaryota; Metazoa; Arthropoda; Malacostraca; Decapoda; Xanthidae.
UAUUAUACUAAUAAAUAUAUAUAAACCUAAAUUAUUAAUAGAUACAUUCUUUAAAUUUGAAGAAUUUGGCGGUGAUUUAGUCCUGUUAGAGGAACCUGUUUUUGAAUCGAUACACCACGUGUAAUUUUACUUACUUUAUUUAGUUUGUAUACCGUCAUUAUCAGAUAAUUUUUAAAAAAAUAGUUGUUGAAAUUUAUACACGAUAAAUAAAAUUAGAUCAAGGUGCAGCUUAUGAGUAAGUUAAAAUGGGUUACAAUAAAAUUUAUUUACAUGGAGUGAUGAUAAGAAAAUUGUGUCAUGAAGGCGGAUUUAAUUGUAAUAUGAGUUUAACAAGUUUAUAAGAUAUAGGCUCUAAAUCAU